CUUAAGAUGUCGGAUAAACGAGCUAUCUUGAUAAGAUAGAUAUACAAUUAUAAAAUUGUUCUUAAGC
Molecule: non-coding RNA, 67 nt
Organism: Ciona intestinalis (vase tunicate)
Lineage: Eukaryota; Metazoa; Chordata; Ascidiacea; Phlebobranchia; Cionidae
Source: the annotation of a RefSeq genome assembly